CGGCGAGUGAAGCGGCAAUAGCUCAAAUUUGAAAGCUGGCCCCUUCGGGGUCCGCGUUGUAAUUUGUAGAGGAUGAUUCGGCGAGGGCUCCCGUCUAAGUCCCUUGGAACAGGGCGUCAUAGAGGGUGAGAAUCCCGUAUGUGAUGGGCUGCCUUAGCCAUGUGAAUCUCCUUCGACGAGUCGAGUUGUUUGGGAAUGCAGCUCUAAAUGGGAGGUAAAUUUCUUCUAAAGCUAAAUACCGGCCAGAGACCGAUAGCGCACAAGUAGAGUGAUCGAAAGAUGAAAAGCACUUUGGAAAGAGAGUUAAAAAGUACGUGAAAUUGUUGAAAGGGAAGCGCUUGCAGCCAGACUUGUCCGCAGUUGCUCAGCCUGUCUCCUGACAGGCGUACUCUUCUGCGGCCAGGCCAGCAUCAGUUCGGGCGGUCGGAUAAAGACCUAGGGAAUGUAGCUCCUCUCGGGGAGUGUUAUAGCCCUGGGUGCAAUGCGGCCAGCCUGGACUGAGGAUCUCGCUUCGGCUAGGAUGCUGGCGUAAUGGCUGUAAGCGGCCCGUCUUGAAACACGGACCAAGGAGUCUAACAUCUAUGCGAGUGUUUGGGUGUCAAACCCAUGCGCGUAAUGAAAGUGAACGGAGGUGGGAACCCUCACGGGUGCACCAUCGACCGAUCCUGAUGUCUUCGGAUGGAUUUGAGUAAGAGCAUAGCUGUUGGGACCCGAAAGAUGGUGAACUAUGCCUGAAUAGGGUGAAGCCAGAGGAAACUCUGGUGGAGGCUCGCAGCGGUUCUGACGUGCAAAUCGAUCGUCAAAUUUGGGUAUAGGGGCGAAAGACUAAUCGAACCAUC
Molecule: ribosomal RNA, 839 nt
Filed under: Neofusicoccum viticlavatum
Lineage: Eukaryota; Fungi; Ascomycota; Dothideomycetes; Botryosphaeriales; Botryosphaeriaceae
Description: eukaryotic LSU rRNA
Rfam family: Eukaryotic large subunit ribosomal RNA
Source: RNAcentral